This 253-nucleotide ribosomal RNA is filed under the name uncultured bacterium. RNAcentral describes it as "partial 16S ribosomal RNA". It matches the Rfam family "Bacterial small subunit ribosomal RNA", at positions 524 to 776 of the family's 1533-position model. The record is from RNAcentral.
UACGUAGGGUGCAAGCGUUAAUCGGAAUUACUGGGCGUAAAGCGUGCGCAGGCGGUUUUGUAAGUCUGUCGUGAAAGCCCCGGGCUCAACCUGGGAAUUGCGAUGGAGACUGCAAGGCUUGAAUCUGGCAGAGGGGGGUAGAAUUCCACGUGUAGCAGUGAAAUGCGUAGAGAUGUGGAGGAACACCGAUGGCGAAGGCAGCCCCCUGGGUCAAGAUUGACGCUGAGGAGCGAAAGCAUGGGUAGCGAACAGG